GUAAAGUCGUAACAAGGUUUCCGUAGGUGAACUGCGGAAGGAUCAUUAUCGAGCCCAACGACGGAGGCUUGGGGGGGGUGGACCCUUCCUUUUGUUUUCAGGUGGUUGAGCUGGCUCUUUUGGAGCAUGUGCCCUGCUUGUUGAAGGGAGGGGAAGCUUCU
RNAcentral lists this ribosomal RNA (161 nucleotides) under Haloaleurodiscus mangrovei. RNAcentral's name for it is "partial 18S rRNA". The stretch from base 1 to 48 matches the Rfam family "Eukaryotic small subunit ribosomal RNA", at positions 1783 to 1831 of the family's 1831-position model. The record is from RNAcentral. Lineage: Eukaryota; Fungi; Basidiomycota; Agaricomycetes; Russulales; Stereaceae.